GAGAUAAAAUUAGGUUGGUCAUCACAGGGAAAAUAUAAGAAGGGAGAGGAAAAUGUUUCCCUGUCUUUCAUAGACGAAAAGGAAACUUUUCUCCUGAAGGAAGUUUUCCUUCCUCACAUUAAUUUUUUUAAUAUGCUUUCUUUUGCUAAAGAAUGAAAACCAAUCAUUGGGUAUUUCCUUCGGCCCACAACUAGUUGCAAUUUCUCGCCUACCACCACAGAAAUGAGCCCUCUACCUGUCUCGACAUUGUCUCCUUGAUAUAUCUCCUCUGUACAUCUGCAACUCCUAAGCAAAGAAAGUGAGAUUGGUCAUAAAGAAUUCACCCCUCAUUUGAGCCGAGGGCAGGGGGUGAAUUGUUGACAAAAAGGAAAGGCUGUUUCAUUAAUUUUCUUUUUCUAAUUAACUGAAAAUUGUCAUUUUAAGAACCAACUCCAAUCCAUUUUAGAACUUUUGAAAUGGCCCUUUAGCUGUGAUAUAAAACUAAACUCAAUUUCUACACUGUCAAUGCAGAACAAAAUGCUAUUGACCAGUCAUUCCCAAGGAUUAUGUAUGAGUGGCAUGGUAAGUAAGUUAUGCUUUAGUUUGAAAAGGAAUAUACAAGGAAAGCAGUGGCGAUUCAUAGAUAUAGUAUUGAUUAUCAUUACAAAAGUUCAAACUCUUUCAAAUAUUGAUCAACCCUUCAAUUUGAUAUAUGUGAAUCUAAUGACAGAGGCUCUCCGAACUUUUCCUUUCAUUUCAGUAAGCGGUUGGGAGUGAUGGUGCCUUAUAACCUCGGAACUGGGCGAGGAACGUCCCAGUCAGUCACAAUGUGAUUGCGGGUAAUCUCCCUGAGUGAGCGGCAGCCACUCAAUGCCAUUGUUAGCUCAAACUCAUCACGAAGCAUCUGAAGUACUUUCCUAAUUCCAGCUUCUCCUUCAGCAGCCAAUGAGAACACCACAGGCCUUCCAAUAAAUAUUCCAGAUGCUCCUAGUGCCAAUGCCUUGAAAACAUCUGUGCCACGGCGAACUCCACCAUCAAGGAAAACAGGAACACGGCCUUGUGCAGCUUUGACGACCUGUGAGAUGCAUCAAUAAAAUCAUUAAAUCCGAUUAUUACAACUUAAAAAUGUGAAAAAUUGCAGUUUCACUAGAAGCAAAGAUAAAGGGGUACUCAGCAAAAAGAAUUGCUUGAAUCUCACAGUAUGUUAAUAAGUGGUAACAAAGAGAAAGGAAAUCAUGAGAGGUGAGCAAGGCACUGAUAUCCCUGUUUUGAAGGUCAACCAGCGGACAACACCCCAAUCCCAUUGCCUCCAAAGAAGGAAAAAAAGAGUAGGAGUAGCUCAUGUCAACACAGAAAUAAUCAUUAAAGGAAAGUGGUUAUUUCAAUAUGGUUUUGAAAAAUUAAAAAGGCUUAGCAUACCAUUAAUACACAUGAAGGAGAAAAGGUAAGAAACGAAUAAUUAUUUCAUGAGAAAAAAAAAAGGUUGUAAAGAUGAAAAUCUUUAAAAUUUGUGAAUGUACUUAAACUUGUUAAAAAUGCACUUGGAAUACAUUAACUUUACAAUCGCCAGCACUUGUACCUCUUCCAAUGCCAUAAUAGUUGCAGGAACAUAAUCAAGCUGGCGAGCUCCAUGAUUGGAUACAAUGAUUCCUGCAGCUCCAUUCUGUAUGGCUAGCCUUGCUGCAUUGAGAGCAAAAAAAAAGGAAAAAACAGAGGGUGCAUCAGAAGAAUUUUAUGAGGGCCACAAACAGAAUCAGAUGGGAAGAAAACUCUGUUGCUCAUUUUUUUUAGUUGUUUUUUCCCUGUCAUCCAGUGAGUAGGGGACAAGUAGUUUAUUUAGAAUUCUUACCAUCCUCUGCAGUCAGUACACCCUUCACCAGGAUGGGCAGUGACGUGAUUGUCUGAAGCCACUUCACAUCCUGUCCAAUGGCCGAGAGAAGUUUACCGAAAGACCAUGUCUAUGUCACAGUUCAGGCAUUGUAAAAAUCAAUCAAGUUAUCUUACCUUCCAGCUAAGUGUCCUGUCAAUUUGGCCAGCAACAUAUGAAGCAAGUCCAGAGUCAUCGG
RNAcentral lists this unclassified non-coding RNA (2045 nucleotides) under Hevea brasiliensis (rubber tree). The record is from RNAcentral. Lineage: Eukaryota; Viridiplantae; Streptophyta; Magnoliopsida; Malpighiales; Euphorbiaceae.